GACCAACAACUCGGCACACAAACGCACACAACAUGACUAAGGCUAAAGGAAAUGACAGGAUCAGCAGAUUGGAGGUGCUCGUGGAGAGGAUGACCGCUAUAGCCCCCGGCAAAACCAAACGGAAGAACCGGAAGGCCAAACCGGCCAGAUCAUCUGUCGUCACGGCACCAGUUGUUGGCAGCGCCAUCAUUCGCAGCCGCGUGCCCAAGGUCCUGAACAGUAGGGAAGGCGUCGUGGUAUCUAACACGGAGAGAUUCUCCAUUCUUACGACAGCCGUCGGCGUAGCGACCUUCUCCAGGAUCGACAUUACACCCUCGAACGUGCUAUGGCUGAAUGGGGUGGCUAUUAAUUACUCCAAGUACCGGUGGAUAUCUGUGCAGAUGUACUACAUACCUAUCGUUCCUACAACACAGACAGGUCUCAUGGCGAUGGGGUUCGUAUAUGAUGUCAAUGACAGCAUGACGGGCACCACGGUGGGGAUGGUUCAACAGAUGUAUGGAGCGGUCAGUGGCCCUAUUUGGGCUGGGUAUGAGGGUGGAUCGGGCUUGAACACACCAGGUACUAAGGUUCCUACUGGUGCUUUAUGCAUCACGCUGGAUACUGGGAGGCUUGAUAAGUCAUACUACAAGUACGCCACUGUAGCACAAAUAGGGGCCAUGUCGGGGCCAGAGGCGGCAAUGUACGUGCCGGCAAGCGUGGUUUGGGCAACUGACUCAGCUGCUGUCGCACAGGGCGGCGCUGGGCAGAUUAUGGCCAAAUACACCGUCGAACUGCUUGAACCUAUACCAGCUACACUUAACGACUAGUGUGCGCAUAGGGGCCUCUUGAACAAGACCAGUUCAUGGAUGCAGAAUACGAGCAAGUCAGUAGGCCAUGGAACGAGCUAUACAAGGAAGCGACGCUUGGCAACAAACUGGUGGUCAACGUCGGGUCGGAGGAUGCGGAGAUUCCUUUGCUCCCUUCCAACUACCUGACGAAAGCCCGACUAGCGAUGAGUGGCGGUUACAUCACGAUGCGUAUGAUCCGGAUACGGAUUGUCCCCUUGGUUUCAAGGAAUUCUGGAGUGUCGGGAAGGCUAUUUCUAAGAGAUAUCACAGAUACGACUGGAAAGAAGCUUCACUCGACAGAGCUCUUGGAUCUUGGCAAGGAGAUAAGGUUAUCACUGAGGCAUCUCGAUUUCUCGGUGUCGACCAGGUCAGCUGUACCUAUAGUAUUCGGGUUCGAGGAGUUAGUAUCACCCUAUCUGGAGGGUCGAGAGCUCUUCUCCGUCUCGUUUCGAUGGCAGAUCGGAUUAAGCGCUCAGAGCUACAGUUUGCCACAAGUGCCGUGGAAAGUGUUGUAUCAAGAGGAUGCCCUGAGGAGGAAACUCCCAAAGAAAGCGAAUAAGACAAACUCUCCGCCUAAUGUCUGAUGAUGUGAGGAACGUGGACUGUGAUGUGGUGGUGCGGUACCAUGGCUGGUCACCAUGGUAAUGCGUAGGGCAACACAGUUCAUUAAGACUCACUGAUGAUGGCACUAGGCACGGUUCACCCCCAUCCUUCGGGAGGGCUAUAGGGGGUGACCGGGUUACACCACCGGAAGACCGGAACAUUGCCUUUGGGCAGCCC
This 1607-nucleotide unclassified non-coding RNA is filed under the name Maize necrotic streak virus. The stretch from base 1513 to 1607 matches the Rfam family "Tombusvirus 3' UTR region IV". The record is from RNAcentral. Lineage: Riboviria; Orthornavirae; Kitrinoviricota; Tolucaviricetes; Tolivirales; Tombusviridae.